CCUACGGGAGACAGCAGUGGGGAAUAUUGGGCAAUGGGCGCAAGCCUGACCCAGCAACGCCGCGUGAAGGAAGAAGGCUUUCGGGUUGUAAACUUCUUUUGACAGGGAAGAGCAGAAGACGGUACCUGUCGAAUAAGCCACGGCUAACUACGUUCCAGCAGCCGCGGUAAUACGUAGGUGGCAAGCGGUGUCCGGAUUUACUGGGUGGAAAGGGCGUGUAGCCGGGCUGACAAGUCAGAUGUGAAAUCCGGGGGCUCAACCCCCGAACUGCAUUUGAAACUGUUGGUCUUGAGUAUCGGAGAGGCAGGCGGAAUUCCGAGUGUAGCGGUGAAAUGCGUAGAUAUUAGGAGGAACACCAGUGGCGAAGGCGGCCUGCUGGACGACAACUGACGGUGAGGCGCGAAAGCGUGGGGAGCAAACAGGAUUAGAUACCCGAGUAGUC
This 442-nucleotide ribosomal RNA is filed under the name uncultured bacterium. RNAcentral describes it as "partial 16S ribosomal RNA". It matches the Rfam family "Bacterial small subunit ribosomal RNA", at positions 338 to 795 of the family's 1533-position model. The record is from RNAcentral.